Molecule: unclassified non-coding RNA, 702 nt
Filed under: Hevea brasiliensis (rubber tree)
Lineage: Eukaryota; Viridiplantae; Streptophyta; Magnoliopsida; Malpighiales; Euphorbiaceae
Source: RNAcentral
GUUGACUAAAAAUUCUAAAUCCGCCACCAAAGCUGACACCGUAAAAUUAGUGCAAAGUUAGCGACAACAGCGGCGCACCACCACCAUUGUAAAAUGUGUAUGAGGCGGUGAUAAGCACUAAAGAUGAGCUUUCCGUUACAAAAUUAUUGAAUAGAAGCACUUGUCAGGUACCCUAUAGCUGAAUCGUUGCUUCCUUGCAUGUCUACUGUGUGGGAUAUGGCGACUUGGUGAUUCUGCAACUAGGUGUUCAAGUACCCUACAGAACAGAAGGAUGAAUAGUUUUUUAGUUGCAAGUCUAAACAUAUACAAAUGCAUAGAUAUAACAAAACAAAAAUGUUCCAAUUGCAUGCCAGUUUCACUUUGAAUUCUUGCAGAACCGGAUGCAUAGUUUUCACCUUUGAGUAGUUCUAAGCCCUUAGCAAUUAGAAAUGAUGGCAUGAAGUUGUCAAUGCCCAAGAGUUAUCACCUGCACAUGCAGGUAUGUAGCAAGAAAAUUUGUUCAUUUAAUUAGCUGCACUUUGGAAUUUGGAUCAAAACAUUAAAUGGUUCAACAAGCAAGACUAAAGAUAGUUUAAGAGUUUCUAGCAAUGACCAGAGAUUGUUUGUAUUAAGAAGCAGUCAUUGUGUAGUCACAUUAGGAGGGAAAAGCAAGAGCUAUUGCCUUGUUAUGUAGGGCCGAAGCUUCUUCAUCAAAGGAUAUCC